GGUCGUGUGGCGCAAUGGUAACGCGCUCGUUCUUGUAACGGGAAAACCUGGGUUCGAUUCCCGGUACGACCU
This 72-nucleotide transfer RNA is filed under the name Gaeumannomyces tritici R3-111a-1. Its description in RNAcentral is "tRNA-Und (NNN) (tRNA-Und-NNN-1-1)". It matches the Rfam family "tRNA". Rfam says of the family: Transfer RNA (tRNA) molecules are approximately 80 nucleotides in length. Their secondary structure includes four short double-helical elements and three loops (D, anti-codon, and T loops). The record is from Rfam by way of RNAcentral. Lineage: Eukaryota; Fungi; Ascomycota; Sordariomycetes; Magnaporthales; Magnaporthaceae.